CCACACGCACACACACGGCGGCGUUCGCUCUCUUUCCGACUGACGUUGCGCAUGCUACGGCAGCGGCAGAAAAAACAACGCGAGAUAAAGCGGCAGCUAUUUUUGUAUGGGUCGUCGACUAGUCCACACGGACAUCGGAAAAUACGCGAGGGCGGCGCACGGCCAGUUGGAAAAUCACUAUCAGCAGGGCACACAAAGCACGGAGAAGCAGAGGAAAGCCGCGAGCCAAGCCAAAGUACACGGAAAGGCCGAGGAAAGCCAGAACAGCAAUGACGAAAUGAUUUGAAUUCGCUUGCCACUCGCAGUCAACGCGCAUAAUCGUAGCCAUCGCACACACACGGGCGAACGGGCCCACACACACACGGGCGAGAGCGAGUGCGGCCGAGUAGGGUGAAAGGGGCGGGCGGAACCGAGUGGGCGCAGCAGCAACAACAAGAAACAAGAACACGACGAAAACAAACGGCAAUUGCCGUGUGAACUGCACGGAAAACACAAACAAUGCGGAUACGCGAGAAGCGCAAGUUGCAGAGGGAGGAGAGGAGGGGGGAGAGGGAGAAGAAGGAGCACAAGGAGUCCUCCAAGGCGCAGGACAACAACAACAAGGAGAAGCCCACCGACCCGGAGGGUCCCUCACCAGCUCACGCGCCUGCGCCUGCUCCGGCACCCACUGUGACCCCACCGCCCAGCCUGCCGGCGGCCGAGAAGGUGGCCUUCGACAACCGCAUCAAGCGCAAGAACGUCCUGGCCCUCAACGAAAAGGUGGCCGCUCUGCGGGAGUACGAUCGUCUGCCUGUCUACAAGCACGUGGGCCGGCUGUUCAACUGCAGUCCGGACCAGAUCAAGCGGAUCGUGCAGCAGCGCCAGGAGAUCCUAAACGCGUGGGACCAGCGGACGCGUCGCAGCCAGGAUGCCAAGACCAUGGAGACGAAGACCGUGCGAGUAUCGAUGCUGGGCAAGGCCGUGUACGACUGGUUGCGGCGCAUGAUGUACUACAGGGACUUCAGCAUCACCGACGGACUCAUUCAGAAGAUGGCCUUGCAGUUCAAGAGCUCCAUGGGCCUGGCCCACUUCUUCCCACACCAGGAGUGGUGCGACAAGUUCCGGCGCACCUACAACAUCCAGCACAGCGACACCAGGCUGCUGAAGGUCGGCUACACGCAGGGCUACUCGGUGCAGAUCAAAGACAUCGUCAAGGACGUCAUGUCCGAGUGCAUGCCAGAGAGCGGGCCGCGAAGCGAGGCGCACGAGGACGACGAGGAAGUCAGCUUGGGCAGUCCGCUGAGUAGCAAUCCCCGCAGCUGCGGCGAUGACGAGGAUGACGAGGUGGAUGUGGACGGGGGCGGUGCCAGCGGAAGGGAGGAUGAGCUGGAGGAGGAGCCCGAUGUAAAGCCCUCGUUGAGUGAACUGAAUUUGGCCAGGGCUCUGCAGCCUUUGCCACCUUUGGUGAGAUUACCCCUGCAGACUAACACCCCACCAGGCACGUCCCAAAAAGUGCUCCUGGCCACUCCCAUUGUGCCGCCGCAGGCGGGUGGACAGCCCAUGACCAUGACCAUCAUACCACUGGCCACCCUGGCCCAGAGCAUCACACAGAUUCCUGCCCCGCAGCAGCAGGACAAGGGUCCUGCGGUGCCGCCGCCCAAACUAGAAAUCAAGCAGGAAAAGGACAUCAAAAUGGAGCCUAAGGACCCAGAAGAGUUUCACGCGGAGCAGACGGAGACCGAGCCGCAGCAGAACGAAGCUCAGGCACCAAGCGAGAAGGAGUUGGAAAUGCCACCCACAGUGCAAAUUAAAGUGGAGCCCGAGCCUGAGCCUGAGCUGGAAACGGAAAUGGAAAUGGAAGAGGAGCCAGCGGAUCUCGAUGAAGAUGCGAACAAUGGUCGCUCUAGUGUCACCUCGCUGGCCGAGGUCCUUGCAGCCAAUGUGUGUGAGGACGAGAUGGAGUAUAUCGAGCGGAUGCGGCAGCGUUCGCCGGCGGCGAUCGAAAUUCCGCUGAAUCCUCGCCAGGGCACCAAGCGUCGUCAUGAAUCCGGACAGGACGACAACAACAACGGCGAAUCCGGUCAAGGAAGUAGGUCGUCGAGUGUCAUCAGCUGCGCCGAUGCCCGCAAGUACCUAAAGCUCCUCGAGGAGUUUGCUCUGUACAAGGAGAACUACCGGCUGAUUGGGCUCAUCACACGAGCCGAUGAAGUGAUGCGCGAAAUGGACGACAAUGUGGCGUAGGACGAGCCAAACAGCACGAGUUGGCCGAGAAGGAGAGGCAGCUGCAGCCAAAGAGCAUUAGCGAUGCAAACGGGAGCAUCUAGAAGAUGCAGAUCGGUCGGAUGCAAUCAAUCAUUAGAUCUAAGUGUUCGCGAUUUACCAUUUGGCAACACAGAAGGUGGCUAAUGAAAUAUUGCCUGAUCUUAUGUAUCUGAACUUAAAUCUUAACCGGUGCCUAUCUCGGACGCGCUUUAAAAUGCGAAUUAAGCCGAAAUCAAAAUCAAUUUUUAAAU
RNA transcript from Drosophila biarmipes, 2492 nucleotides. RefSeq lists it as uncharacterized. The transcript is spliced from 3 exons. Lineage: Eukaryota; Metazoa; Arthropoda; Insecta; Diptera; Drosophilidae. The record is from RefSeq and is a predicted model, not a curated record.